GAUUAACGCUGGCGGCGUGCCUGACACAUGCAAGUCGAACGAGUUCUAGUUGCCCGCAAGGGUGACUAGCGCUAGUGGCGGACGGGUGAGUAACACGUGGGCAACCUGCCUGAGAGCGCGGAAUAACCCUGCGAAAGCAGAGCUAAUACCGCAUGUGGUUGUUGGUUGGCAUCUAUCAACAACUAAAGUCGCAAGACGCUCUCAGAUGGGCCCGCGGCCUAUUAGCUAGUUGGUGAGGUAACGGCCCACCAAGGCUGUGAUGGGUAGCUGGUCUGAGAGGACGGACAGCCACACUGGGACUGAGACACGGCCCAGACUCCUACGGGAGGCAGCAGUGAGGAAUUUUCCGCAAUGGGCGAAAGCCUGACGGAGCAACGCCGCGUGAGGGAUGAAGUCUCUAGGGAUGU
Molecule: ribosomal RNA, 407 nt
Filed under: uncultured bacterium
Lineage: Bacteria
Description: bacterial SSU rRNA
Rfam family: Bacterial small subunit ribosomal RNA
Source: RNAcentral